GCGCCAGACUCCUACGGGAGGCAGCAGUGAGGAAUAUUGGUCAAUGGCCGGGAGGCUGAACCAGCCAAGUCGCGUGAGGGAAGACGGCCCUACGGGUUGUAAACCUCUUUUGUCAGGGAGCAAGGUGCAGGUCGGGACCUGCUGUGAGAGUACCUGAAGAAAAAGCAUCGGCUAACUCCGUGCCAGCAGCCGCGGUAAUACGGAGGAUGCGAGCGUUAUCCGGAUUUAUUGGGUUUAAAGGGUGCGCAGGCGGAGGCACAAGUCAGCGGUAAAAUUGCGGGGCUCAACCUCGCCGAGCCGUUGAAACUGCUCUUCUAGAGUGGGCGAGAAGUAUGCGGAAUGCGUGGUGUAGCGGUGAAAUGCAUAGAUAUCACGCAGAACUCCGAUUGCGAAGGCAGCAUGCCGGCUCCACACUGACGCUGAGGCACGAAAGCGUGGGUAUCGAACAGGAUUAGAUACCCCGGUAU
Molecule: ribosomal RNA, 467 nt
Filed under: uncultured bacterium
Lineage: Bacteria
Description: bacterial SSU rRNA
Rfam family: Bacterial small subunit ribosomal RNA
Source: RNAcentral